This is a long non-coding RNA of Gasterosteus aculeatus aculeatus (three-spined stickleback), 4715 nucleotides long. NCBI's taxonomy places the organism in Eukaryota, Metazoa, Chordata, Actinopteri, Perciformes, Gasterosteidae. The record is from Ensembl.
GUGUCGCGUGUGCUUUGACACAGGCGAUGUGAGACACUCAUGUUCCACACAGCGAACGGGAGGUCUCCGUGCACGCAUGCACGAGCUCACUGGAAGUGAAUCCCGUGACACAAUUGUGAGAUGGAGCCACGGUGGCUUUGCUGGUUCCACUUGGAUUCCAGAAGAGACAUGAAACUGUACCAAAUGUACCAAAUGUAAUCUGAGAUCAACGUUCUGGAGGUGGGGGAUAACUACGUCGAGGCAAUGGAGACACUCGAUGGCCAGAGAGUUGAAGGCCGUAAUGGGAUGCGGCCAGUGCGAGGCCCGUCUGUCAGAAGGUUUAUUGCCCCGCGAUUUGGAGCAAACUCUGGACUUCAAGCAAAUGGAAUCAUUCAGAAAACGAGUUAAAGGAUUCUGUAUCAGAGCAUUGAUACGGUAGUAAACGGAUAUUAUGGAGCUUUUGGUUGCUGCCAUCGCUUUUUCUUUUUUGCAAAUAGAAGGGACAGGAAAUGAUGGAAAAGUAAGGCCUACAAUAUUGGACAAAACCUUUAAAAGGAUACACAAAAUGCUAGAAUUAACAUAAAUAAAAGCACAAAAAGCAAAUAAAAGCAAAUCUAUUUUCAGAUAGAAAGAUAGUUUUCCCAAAAACUCAAAGGCUCCUUGGAGCUGCUUACCGCUGGUAUGCAUGAUGAAAGAAAGCCAAACCUUUACUGUAAUCUCCUUCAUCGUAACCUAAUAUCUAAAAAAAAAAGCCCAUUACAAUGUAAAGAGCUGCAUGCAGUUAACUGAUGACCCUCAGGCUUCAGCCUCUCAGGGGCACAAUCCAUUCUUCCAUCCAAAAGCCGUACCGGCUCGGGGGAACGGAGCCAAUGGUCGCUGCUCACGUUGGGUCCGUACGCAGGGACAGAAAACCAAUUGGCAAUUAACCGCGGGGUGAGAAAUCAGAGCAAACUCAAGAUGACGGCGAGUACAAGCAAAUGUUACACAGGAAGGGCUCGGGGGGACCGGCCGGCACGAGUACGAUAUGCUAAACACAUCAACGUCAGCUUUCCUGAAAUGAGAUCCCCUUGAGCCUUAUAGGUAUCUCAAUAUAUCCGUUACAGCGGUUGUGAUUGGGUUUUGAGCCUGGGCCAAAAACGCCUUCACGAGGUGUUUGAAAUUGAAAUCAAGGGGUACGAAUUUCAUUUGGGAUCGGGGGCCGGUUAAAGAAGCCCCCCCCCCAAUCUCCCCCCGAGCAUAAAGGCAUAGCAGCUAUGUUUUAAAUUAAGCAACCAGGAGAUGUGGAGACAAACCGAACCUCAACAAUGCCUCAACAGUGCCUCGGUGGUCCUGCUCUCGCCGUUUGUUGUUGCUUGAGGUUCCGAACAUUGUCUUCCCCCAAAACCGCAACCCUCAAAGUUGUUCUUUCUUCCCAGUGUACGUGUGCCUACUGUAUCCUCUGUGGCUCGCAUCUGCUACAAAAACAAUGUUCUCAGUGGUGGUCGGCUGGUACAGUACAAUGCAGCCCUCAGUAAUCCAAAACUGUCCUCACCGAGGGGAAUAGGGAAGGGGAAAAUUUAGAAACCAUAUCUUUUUCAUCUCGCGCGGUCAGGAAUGUGAGCGUAAGUAUUAUCUGAGAGGAGGGGGGGACGGGCGGUAGGUGGGGGCUCUGAGAGCAGAACUCACUUAUAAGUGAAGUACAGCGAAGCUUCCAUGUGUGACUGUUCCUGGUCAAGCACAUUGGAUCCCAUUUUAUAAAGUACUUAGAGGCUCUGUACACCCCUCGGUGUAAUGAUGAACUGUUAAUACCACCACGUGUAAUUACUUGUAUAAUAAACCGCUCAUAAUCACUCUAGAAGCCAUUUACUUACGGCACUUCAGGCAAAGAUAUCAAUCAGUGACAGAGGGACACAAGCCCAGAGACUUGGGAUAACAAUCAAAAACACAACAAGAGUGACCUUUCAGUGUAAACCGACUCGGUCGUCUUGUUGCCAGACGUGAAAUCCAAGGCCCCUGGCAGGAAAUCCAGCGCGUGCUGUUGACAUCGCAACUCAUCCGUGACAGACAAGGAAAAACACUCGUGGAGAGGAAGAGAGAAAACGGCAGAAGACAGAGUGCUGUCGUUGGUCAAUAUUACAACGUUCAGGGAAGGAAAUAAAGAGCUUUUAAAGCAGAGAUUGCAGAUGUUGGAAAUGAUCACGUGGUUGCUAAAUACAGCAGUUGGAGAACUGUGCUGUUACUUCUGUGCAUUACAAUGUCGAUAAAUCACAUUUUGAAUAAUGGCUGCAGAGUCCAUUAAAUCCGGCAUCUUUGCGAAGGUUUUAGUUGAUGCGGUUUCUGUCACGUUUGUCCAUUUCAUUUCAUAUUAUUGGUCCCCGUAUAGCAUUACUAUUAAAAAUCAACAGUAAAGACACUGUAAUUUGUUACAUUUAUAAUGCCCCCAAGCACCUUUAGGAUUGUAGCUCUGCUUUGGGGCUCAGCAGUGUGCCGUACAGAACUGGGGCUGGUUUUUAACGUCCAUUAUAAAGCGUCAAAUAGUGGCCUGUAGUUUGUCUUUUGGGGGCAGUGAGGAGAAUCUGGGCUUGAGCACAGCUGGUUUCUGUGCGAAGUGGACUAUGCUAACGAGAAAGUCACUUAGCAUCUGAUCAACGUGCAAAGGGGAAAACAGGAAUUACUAAAUGUAUGACCGUUGAACGUUACGGGUGGGUAAGUCAUUAUUAACGGCUGUUAAUGGACGCGUCCUUCAGGCAAAUUCACCGCUGCAGAGAGACGUGGCCGAACCUCCAUCGUCUCCUUUUCUGGACGUUGUUGAUGUUGGCAGUACGUCGGUUUCUGAUGCCGCGAGAGCCGACUCAGGGUGCUUCUUUCUCGUUCACACACACACACACACACACACACACACACACACACACACACACACACACACACACACACACACACACACACACACACACACACACAUUUGGAUGGGAAAUGUGUGUUGGCAAUGUGACAGGAGUUAGUAACAGAAAUCUGAUCCACUGUGGAAAAAAAUACAGACGAGACUCUAAACUCUAAACGCGAUGCAACAGAUAGUAAUCAUAAACUUUUAUUCUGAAUGUAUCUUAUUUGCACAUGAAUUCACACAUUUUUACUCCCCAUGAUUAUAAACAUUGUUCUUUUUGUUGAGGACACCAUCAGUUUUGUACAAAUGUUUACAUGUUUGAUUCUGGAGAAUCAAGUUCCAGUAAAGUGUAAGCCCGCCUUAAAACCGAAGGCGGAGAAAGAUUGACUGACAGCCAAUCGUCUGCCAGAGAGUGGCAGCGAGCUCUAAAAGCAGCAAGUUGGGGCAUUUUUGGCGGUUCUAUACUUCAUCACUUAAAAGACCAUACCGGUCUUUUCCGACUUUUCAGGCAGGCGUCGUUUUCCAUUACUUUCCCACACGGAACCCACGACAUCACCAACGGCACUCACUGUUCACACGUGUGUCAUGUAAAAAACAAAAACAUUUCAUUGAGAAGCAGACUGAAGACUCUGCAAACUGUUUGAAGGAAAAAUGCAGCUCUGAUGGGAUCGUUUGGUGAGUCUGCAGCCGAACCAGCAGCUGUGUGUGCAGCGCGUCAACAACAUUAUUUUCAACUUAUUUUCAGUCGAUGUUGCUUUCUUAUUUUUACUUUCACAGCAGGAAGCAGCUGAGAUCAAGGCCGACUGCAACGCGGUUCGUUUUAAAAAGUAUUUAAACCAAGUUGUUGAACAAAUUGAACUUUUGAACAUAUUCCAGGGAUUACAGGAAGGUCAACAAUUCAAACCAGCUGAAUGGCAACGAACCAAACAGCCGUGGAGACGUUUCCCUCUGUGCCGCAACCCGAGACGACCCGAUGCUGACCCGGGAGGAGGGUGGAGCCAAACGCUGUCCCGCCUCCCAAGAGAAAGGCAGUAAUAGCUGAUCAUCACAAUACGAAUGCAGAAUGUUAUCCUUCCCAACAUCACACACUGAAGCAGGAGGCGUGAAUAGAUUGUAAAGCCACUACCGCGCAGCGCGGGGACACGGUCCAUGAGACGUACGUGUUGUAUUGGGUUAGAGUAAAGAAGUGCACACAGAAGAGUUUCAGUCGAUGACGGCGGAGCUUUGUCAAAAAAGAAAACGGACCAACCAGCACGUCUUGAUCGGACGUGGAGACACUACUGAUAUAAAAACUGACGUGGCCAGUAUGACGCAGCAGCAGUUAUAAUUCUGUAGAGAAUAAUGUGUGGUUGUCUCCUAUAAACAUACUCCAGCACUAAACACUAAACACAAAGAUACAGAUGUGUUUUUGUGGUGUAUGAGGCAUCCUCAAAAUCCCCAAAUUUGUUCCUCUGUUGAUGUUUGGAAUCUGAAAAAGCAAACCAUCAAGUGCAGCUGUUUCAAGUAAAAAUGACACUUUUAUGGUCACGGUUUAUAUCUGCCUGAUAUAUUAUUUCCUGCCUACUUGAAUUGACGCCUCUUCAUCAAUCCUUGUCCUCAAGUCCAUACGUAGAUACGUGAAUUAAACGGAGAAAGGCCUGUAGGUUUCCACAUAUUGCAACAUAAGGAUGGAUUUACAUUUUCAUCCUGAAAGUUGUUUAUUAUUAUUAUUAUUUAACUCCCUUUGACAUAGUUAGUACUGCGUUGGCGUGUAGCUGCUUUAAGAUUCCUGAUUUGGUCCUGUGAAAUGAUUUGCUUUUAAUUGUUUUUAUCAGAUUUAUUUUGCUCUGCAGCAGCGGUUUGACUAAAUUGACUAAACUGCAAACAAGAUGAC